RNAcentral lists this ribosomal RNA (460 nucleotides) under uncultured bacterium. RNAcentral describes it as "partial 16S ribosomal RNA". It matches the Rfam family "Bacterial small subunit ribosomal RNA", at positions 338 to 795 of the family's 1533-position model. The record is from RNAcentral.
CCUACGGGAGGCAACAGUGAGGAAUAUUGGUCAAUGGACGAGAGUCUGAACCAGCCAAGUAGCGUGAAGGAUGACUGCCCUAUGGGUUGUAAACUUCUUUUAUAAAGGAAUAAAACGAGGUACGUGUGCCUUUUUGCAUGUACCUUGUGAAUAAGGCUCGGCUAACUCCGUGCCAGCAGCCGCGGUAAUACGGAGGAUCCGAGCGUUAUCCGGAUUUAAUGGGUUUAAAGGGAGCGUAGAUGGGUUGUUAAGUCAGGUGUGAAAGUUUGGGGCUCAACCGUAGAAUUGCAGUUGAUACUGGAAGGCUUGAGUGCAGUUGAGGUAAGCGGAAUUCGUGGUGUAGCGGUGAAAUGCUUAGAUAUCAGGAAGAACCCCGAUUGCGAAGGCAGCUUACUAAACUGUGACUGACAUUGAUGCUCGAAAGUGUGGGUAGCAAACAGGAUUAGAUACCCCUGUAGUC